GUCUGAGUGGCUCAGUCAGUUAAGCGUCUGACUUCGGCUCAGGUCAUGAUCUCACGGUUCGUGGGUUCGAGCCCCACAUUGGACU
RNAcentral lists this transfer RNA (85 nucleotides) under Felis catus (domestic cat). It matches the Rfam family "tRNA". From Rfam's summary of the family: Transfer RNA (tRNA) molecules are approximately 80 nucleotides in length. Their secondary structure includes four short double-helical elements and three loops (D, anti-codon, and T loops). The record is from Rfam by way of RNAcentral. Lineage: Eukaryota; Metazoa; Chordata; Mammalia; Carnivora; Felidae.